UGAACGCCUAACAAAUUGAUAAUCUCUACUUUCACAUUUGAAUUUACAUUAGCCUCGAAAUAGAUAAGGGACUUGUCGAAAUUCACUCGCUGUCCUGAGACCAUCUCAUAUUCUCGAAUGAUAUCUUGAACCACUCUAGCCCCUCUGAAUGAUAUCCUGGACCACUCUAGCCCCUUCACACGAAGCAUUGCCUUAAAGGAUGCAAUCAUAUGCAAAAAAUAGAUGAUUAAUAGCAAAUCUCCCCUUACCAAUAGUUGCGCCCAUCAUCUUGAAUCUAUCAGCAAAAUUGGCAAAAGCCCAUGUUUUCUUUCUACCCACCAUCAUAGGCAGUCCAAGGUACUUCUCAAGAUUGGUAGCCACUCGUGAACUCUUAACAAAUUGAUAAUCUCUGCUUUCACAUUUGAAUUACAUUAGCCUUGAAAUAGAUAAGGGACUUGUCGAAAUUCACUCGCUGUCUUGAGACCAUAUCAUAUUCUCGAAUGAUAUCUUGUACACUCUAGCCCCCUCACACGAAGCAUCGCCUUAAAGGAUGCAAUCAUAUGCAAAAAAUAGAUGAUUAAUAGCAAAUCUCUCUCUACCAAUAGUUGUGCCCAUCAUCUUGAACCUAUUAGCAAAAUUGGCAAAAGCCCAUGUUUUCCUUCUACCCAUCAUCUUAGGCAGUACAAGGUACUUCUCAAGAUUGGUAGCCCUUCGUGAACUCUUAACAAAUUGAUAAUCUCUGCUUUCACAUUUGAAUUUACAUUAACCUCGAAAUAGAUAAGGGACUUGUUGAAAUUCACUCGCUGUCUUGAGACCAUCUCAUAUUCCUGAAUGAUAUCUUGGACCACUCUAGCCCCUUUGAAUGAUAUCUUGGACCACUCUAGCCCCCUCACACGAAGCAUCGGCUUAAAGGAUGCAAUCAUAUGCAAAAAAAAUAGAUGAUUAAUAGCAAAUCUCUCCUUACCAAUAGUUGUGCCCAUCAUCCAACCUUUAUUUUUGGCAUCUUGAAUCAGAGUAGAGAAACCUUCAGUGUAGAUUAGAAAUAGAUAGGGGCUAAGAGGAUCUUUUUGCUUUAAGCCUCUUGAGGGGCAAAAUUAUUUGCCAUUGACUCCAUUAAGAGUAAUCGAGUAGGAAACAGAACAUACACACCUCAUGAUGAGUACAAUCCAGUCCUCAUGGAAACCCAAGUGCUUUAUCAUACCAGCCAGAAAAUCCCAUUCAACUCGAUCAUAGGCUUUACUCAUAUCAAGUUUAAGUGCAAAAUUUCUUUCUUACCAUUCUUUUUCAUUUUGAGAGAGUGAAGGACCUCAUAAGCAAUCAACAUAUU
Molecule: long non-coding RNA, 1306 nt
Filed under: Gossypium barbadense (sea-island cotton)
Lineage: Eukaryota; Viridiplantae; Streptophyta; Magnoliopsida; Malvales; Malvaceae
Description: long non-coding RNA (GBAR_LNC000686)
Source: RNAcentral